GGGAGAGACCCGCAGCGAUGUGACCCUCGGUGGACGCGUCGAGUUUAAACCAGGGUCAUGAGUGCCUCUAGGGAAGAGCCAGCGGAGAACGACCGAACCUGCCCAAAACCCUGCCCUGCCUGGGCCUUUCCCCGUCCCCUGACCCCAGCCUCCCACCAUGAGACCAUGCACCAGACCUUCUGUCUCCACUGCACAGGACCAAGCACCGGACAUCCUGUCUCCAUCACACAGGACCAAGCACCGGACCUCCUGUCUCCACGCACAGGACAGGACCAUGCACUGGACCUCCUGUCUCCACACACAGGACCAAGCGCCGGACCUGAGGUGACUGAGCCUUCUCCAUAGAUGCCCCCUCCCUCUGGAACUCCCUCCCCAAACACAUCAGAGACUGCACUGAACUGUCCACGUUCACAUCAUUAAUCAAGACUCGCCUUUUCACAAUUGCUUUUAAUGUGUGAUUAU
Molecule: long non-coding RNA, 462 nt
Organism: Lampris incognitus (smalleye Pacific opah)
Lineage: Eukaryota; Metazoa; Chordata; Actinopteri; Lampriformes; Lampridae
Exons: 3
Source: RefSeq, a predicted model, not a curated record